RNAcentral lists this long non-coding RNA (5232 nucleotides) under Pelobates cultripes (western spadefoot toad). The record is from RNAcentral. Lineage: Eukaryota; Metazoa; Chordata; Amphibia; Anura; Pelobatidae.
UGUGAUUAAAGUUCAAUUUAGAGAUUGAGAUACAAUUAUUUAAGGUAAAUUACAUCUGUUUGAAAGUGAAACCAGUUUUUUUUUCAUGCAGGCUCUGUCAAUCAUAGCCAGGGGAGGUGUGGCUAGGGCUGCAUAAACAGAAACAAAGUGAUUUAACUCCUAAAUGACAGUGAAUUGAGCAGUGAAAUUGCAGGGGAAUGAUCUAUACACUAAAACUGCUUUAUUUAGCUAAAGUAAUUCAGGUGACUAUAGUGUUCCUUUAAGACUUUUUGAAAUCUGACCACAAUUGAUUAUUACAAGGAUAAAAGACUGCUUGCAUAAAGAGCAUUAUUUUUGAUAAAAAUGUAUAAUUAUUCUAAAGUAGCCUUCCUUUGCCCUGGAGACUUGUCAUGUUAAGCUACCUGCAAUACACAAUUUAAUUUACCUUCACACGGCUGACUUCAAGCUAUAGGUUGUUACUAUACAUGUACAACAAUUGCCUGUAACCCAUUUGAAAUCCUGACCAUCUCCAGUGUACAGAGACUGUACCGAUAAUGCGGCAAAGGGAAGUCAGAGGACUUAAAUAAGUAACAGGGUCUUUAUGGGUAGGGGUUUAUUCAAUAAUAUGGAAAUUAUGGAAGAAAUGAAGGGAACUACUUUAGGCCACAGUAGACUUGGUAGAAAAUAUUCCCAUCUCUGCUCUAUUAAAUUCCCAUGACAGUUUAAUUAAUAAAGUCCCCGCUCCCCCAUAUUAAGAAAACAGGUGCAGUUUCCCUGAGUGAUUGGGCUCUCCUUACUAAAACACGAAAUCCGAGGACUGUGCACGUACAAACUUAUUCAAAUUUCUUCUAGAAAAAUUUUAUCGUGCACAUAAAUUUACAUACAUAUUCAAACCUUGACUGAAGCAAAUGUAAUGUAAAUGUCAAUGACUGCAUCUGUCUGGAGACAUUAUUUUUAUUUGCACGCUAUUUUCUGUGACCUGCUUAAACUGGCUGGUGCCAUCAGCACCUUUACUAAUCACCUUUACAAAGUGUUUGUUUUUAUUUGAUUUUUUUUUAUAUUCAGGAAGUUGGUUUUGCCUUGGUUUUUGUAGGGCUGAAAAAUGAGGUCCCCCAAAAUAUAGUGUUGGCAAAGAUUCAUAUGGUCCCAGCUUUGUCACUGAUUAUUAGAGAUGAGACAGAGACAGUGACAUGAAAAGAUGAAGUAAUGCAUAAUGUGUGGAGGACCUAGGUUUUAAAUAACAAUAUAACAUUGCCUUUAUGGACUAACGAAAGCAAGAUAUUUUGCAAGCUUUCAGGACACUAAGAUCCCUUCAUCAUAAAAAUGUAAUUAAUCCGUUGCUAGCAAAAUCACCAGAAAAUGCUUUCUGGUUACCACAGUGGAUCUAAAUUAGCAAACCUUUCCUGGAUCCUCUUUGCAGUCUCCUACAAUGUUCCAUUUUGAUCUGCAAGCUAGAUUUGUGUGAUGCUGUAUGCAAAUCAAUUUCAACAUUUAUAAUUAUUUACACAGCAUUGACAAUGGUGUAAAGGUAAGAGUUAAAGCCUUAAUAUUAAAAAGCUUUACCUAUGCAUGUGCUAGAUACAAUUCUAUUUCUAUAAAAUCAACUCAGCCUUUUUAGGUACACAUUAAAUCCCACAAAUAAGCACUAGAUGGCAGCAUUGCUCAGUAAGUUGAAGGUACUUGGCUCAAAAGGUUUGUUUUUUUUCCCCCACAAGCAAAAUCAAGGGUCUGUUAUACACAAACUAAGAGUUCUAUAACCUUUGCUUUUUGUUUUGGUCUAAUAUUCCCUAAAUUUAAAAACAUGGCCUUUGGUUGUGCAAAUUAUCACUCAGACUAGGUUGACAUCACAGAAGACAAUGCACGAAAGUAUACCAACAGUUAAUCGAUUUAAGUUUUGCUAAAGAGGUUUUUCUUAAAGAGAUAUGCAUCACUUUGAGACAACUGCCAUAUUCAAAAGUGUCUAGCUUUGCAGGCUGAAUAAAGGUACCUGUGAUUUGUUUUCAUAUUUACCUGCUUCUUCUUUCUUAUGCUUUCCACGCCCACUCCAGGUUAUAAACACUGAUUACAUACUUUUUCAAAGUUCUUGCUUUAUUUUGAUUUUUAUAUAUAUAUUUUUUAAGUGUGUGAUUUCUGGUAUAAAAAAAAAAAAAAAAAGUAAUUGAUGCAUGUCCUUUUAAACACACUUUUGGAGCAAGCUUGUAUUUGGAUAAUUACAUUGUCAGGACCCAAGUGAAUUAUUAGAUUUUUGCUAGUAGGAUGAUCACUUCUUAUAGUGAUACCUAAUUUUCCUAUAGUUUGCAUAGAAUUCAUUUAAAAAGAAAACAUUUAUUUCGAUUUUUUAAUUUGCUAUAAAUGGUAUCUUCCUCUGCAAUAUUCUGCUAGCUUUUUGGCAGUUGCUUUUUUUUUUUUUUGCUUUGAUAAUUUGAGUUAGAGUAGACAUUGAUCAAUAAAGCAAAUGCCAAGUUCCUAUAUUUUUAUUGCUAAUUCAUUGUCCAGACCCUUUGUGAGUAAAAUUAAGAGACUGCUUUCCAGACACUGUUAGAAUUUAAGCUCCCCGAACCCCCGUUGGAAAGAGAUAAAAUUCCUUCUUAAAGGACCACUAUAGUGCCAAGAAAACACUCGUUUUCCUGGCUCUAUAGGGUCUCUAGGUCCCCCCCACCCUCAGGGCCUCCCUCCCGCCGGGCUCUAGGGGGUCGAAGGGGUUAAAUUGGCCUCUUUUUCCAGCACCGGGCGGGGGACUCUCCUACUCCUCUCCUCCUCCUUCUCGUCAUCAUCGGCUGAACGCGCAUGAGCCGCGCGCGCAUUCAGCCAGUCUAUAGGAAAGCAUUCUCAAUGCUUUCCUGUGGACGCUGGCGUCUUCUCACUGUAAAAAUCACAGUAAGAAGCGCCUCUAGCGGCUGUCAAUGAGACAGCCACUAGAGGCUGGAUUAACCCUAUUGUAAACAUAGCAGUUUCUCUGAAACUGCUAUGUUUAUAGAAGAAAGGGUUAGUCCUAGCUGGACCUGGCACCCAGACCACUUCAUUAAGCUGAAGUGGUCUGGGUGCCUAUAGUUGUCAUUUAAUUGCCUUUUCUCCCACACAGUGCUGGUAUCUGUGCUGCGGUCACAUUGACUGAUGAUCUUCUGUGCUGCUUGUGCUAAUCAGGAAGCAUUAGCCUAAUCCGCAAUGGGUGGUUGUGAUUGGGGAAGUUGACCGCAUUCAGCCUAUCACAGUACUACUGUAGGUAUGAAUCGGUAUGACCAUAAGGAAGUGUGUAAUCUUGUCUUUAGCCACACCUCCAGUGGAGGAGGGGCUAUGUGAUGCCAGGGACCCUCAUUCACUGUUAAACUGCCCGAAAAUGGUUUAACACUAAAUAGAGGUGCAGUGACAGGAGACUCCAGGCAUUGUAACCAAUUCAAUGAAAUCAAAUUGUUAUAGUGCCUACAAUGUCCCUUUUAAUAAACUUUAUAGACCUGAACAAGCUGGGGGGGAAAAACAUUAGAAAUUAGAUCUUUCUGAUUGGUUUCUUGAUAUAUUAAACUAAUCCUGAACAGAAAUAAAUGCCAUCUGUCUACUAUAAGUAAGAUUCUUAUUUCCUUCUGCUCUCUCUUACUUUUGUACAUUUAUGUAAAUGUAAAUUUGCAUAAAAAUCUGUCUGUGUAUGUAUAAUAUGUAUUCCAGGCUCAGAAUUUUCACUAGUAGAAUUAAGCCCUGGUGAGUGUGCCUUGAACCACUCCACUGCCUGUGCUGCUACGUCAUUGGCAUAGAGAUAAUACAAAUAUGGAAUCCACAGACAGCUGUACAAGGCAUCGUGGAACAUUCAGUGUGCACCCACAUGCUAGGCAUUGUCAGAAGCGAUGGUGAGACACCAUGUGUGGCGCUUUCCUUUUUUAAAUUCCCAGAUGUCAGCCCUGACACCAGCCCCUAAAUUAAUCUAAAAUAUUUAUAGGUUUCCACACAAGAACCUCUGGGAAGGUCCAAAAAAGCUUCAUAGUUUUUCUGACCCAAACUUCUUGCAAAACCAUAAAUAGAUCAGUUGCUUUAUUUAUGUAAUACAGAUUUCUUCUAACAGUAUUCCAAUUAAUAUAACACACACAUGAUUUCCACUAACGUGAGAAUUCAAAGUGGAUUUCAAAUUUAAGGUCGAAACAGCCAAACUGGAAAAAUUCUGUAAGCCAACUGUUUGAUUACGCUGGCCUCAAAUCUGAAAUUCAUUUUGAAUUCUCUUUUGUAAUUAACCCUGCUAAAAACACAUGCAACAACCUCUUCACUGACGAGUACUUUUUGAUUAAAUACAUAUCAUAACAUGUUUGAAGCAAGGGAUAUAUAUAAAACACAAACUUUGUAGAUUUCCUUUCAGACACUUCAUAAUAUGUCAAUUUACACCAUUUUUAUUUUUCAUUUAUUCGUUGUUCCUUUAAAAAAAUUAUUUGGGAAAUUAAAAGCUUUAUACAGUGUCCUUUAUCUUACAAUAUUUCACACAGGAUCUAAAAUGUUAGUGUAAAAGCAAAAUUGAUAUUUGUCUUACAUGUAGUAGGUAUGACAACAAUGAAAAAAUAAAAAUGGUCAGAUACCUUUGAUUAUAAGUAUUUGUAAAGACCCUGAAGGCACUAAUAGCAGUACAGCUUACAAAAAAUUGCAACGGAAUUAAAAAAAAAAAAAAAGUCUACAUUUGAGCAUAAUGCCCACAUACAGUAACAACUGUUAAAAUCAUGUAUACACUUAAUAUUUUGUUAAAAUAAAGGUAUUCAAAUCUCCUACAUCAAUCCUAAUCUAUUUCUGAAAUGUAAUGCUAACCUCCCUAACCAUAGGAAUGAUAUGACCUAGUGAGAUUUAUUGUACUAUUUAAAAGUAGAGGGUGAGCAACAUUUUAGCAAACGCACAGGAAUUCAAUUCGUGACCAGUGGCUUCUGGCAGACAAUGUGUUCCUCUAUAGGCUGCUAAUCAUUUCUAGAAUAUAAAUGAGGGUGAGUGAGGCUUUGUGGACCAAAUGUAUUCUGCAAAAUAAACUAAAGUAAAAAACGUUUAUAUUCUAUUCUGCAAGUGAAAUGGUUAAAAUAUUAAUGACAAUCUAUAAUGCUGAAUAGGUGAUCUGUCAUAGGUGGCACAGUUUUGUUCACAAUAGAUUAUGUGAAUGGCAAUGAAAAUGUAUGCUGUAAUCUGAGAUUUAUAUUUUAAAUGCAUUAAUUACUUUUGUUGGCAAGGGUGGAAACAAAUGAAACAACUGCAUAAUGUAAAAUCCUAAUAAAUAUAAGAAAUGACUUCUGGUUUUAA